Strigops habroptila (Kakapo) is the source of this 1702-nucleotide long non-coding RNA. Lineage: Eukaryota; Metazoa; Chordata; Aves; Psittaciformes; Psittacidae. The record is from Ensembl.
GGGAAAUUAGUUUAAUUUAUUAUCAAUCAAAUCAGAGAAGGGUAAUAAGAAAUAAAACCAAACCUUAAAAACACCUUCCCCCCACCCCUCCAUUCUUCCUGGGCUUAACUGUACUCCUGAUUUUCUCUGCCUCCUCCCCUCCAGUGGCGCAGGACUGGGAAUGGAAGCUGGGGUCAGUUCAUUACACAUUGUCUCUGUUGCUCCUUCCUCCUCAGGGGAGGACGCCUCACACUCUUCCCCUGCUCCGACAUGGGGUCCCUCCGACAGGAGACAGUCCUCCAUGAACUUCUCCAACAUGGGUCCUUCCCAGGGGCUGCAGUUCUUCACAAACUGCUCCAGCAUGGGUCCCUUCCAUGGGUGCAAUCCUUAAGGAACAGACUGCUCCAGCGUGGGUCCCCCAUCGGGUCACAAGUCCUGCAGCAAACCUGCUCCAGUGUGGGCUCCUCCCUCCACAGGACCACAGCUCCUGCCAGAAGCCUGCUCCAGCAGGGCUUCCCAUGGGGUCACAGCCUCCUUUGGGCAUUCACCUGCUCUGGUGUGGGGUCCUCUAUGGGAUGCAGGUGGAUAUCUGCUCCAGCAUGGACCACCACGGGCUGCAAGGGGACAGCCUGCCGCUCCAUGGUCUUUACCACAGGAUGCAGGAGAAUCUCUGUUCCAACACCUGGAGCACCUUCUCCCCCUCUUUCUUCACCGACCUUGGUGUCUGCAGAGUUGGUUCUCUCACAGAGUCUCACUCCUCUCUCCAGCUGCAGGUUGUUGUGCAGUAGUUUUCCCCUUCUUAAACACACUAUCGUUGAGGCGCUACUAUUUUUGUUGAUGGGGUCAGCCCUUGGCCAGCAGCAUGUCAGUCUUGGAGCCGACUGGCAUUGACUCUAUCAGACACAGGACAGGCAGGCUUCUAGCAGGUUCUCACAGAAGCCACCCCAGUAGCCUCCCUGCUACUAGAACUUUGACACACAAACCCAAUACACAUAUAAACUAACUUCAAAUUCUGUCAUAUAACAAAGGCCACCACUCUGUAGAAACUGCCAGUUUGCAUUUUAACCUGUCCUUAAAAGAUGAAAGUCCACAUCGAGAACCACCAUGGAAAACAGAAGCCUGUUACGGCCUCUGCACCACAAGGCUAGCAGGCAGCAGGCUGACCAUCCUAUUACCACUUAAAAACACUGGUGGCUCAAAGCAGCAGAAUUCAUCUUAACAAAUUAGCAUACACACUGGUUCUUUCCAUAGCUUUAUCUGCUCUACAAAUAAAGGUUCAAUACUGUUUCUACUACCCCUUCAAAACUGUUUUCCUUUAAAAGGAAAAGGCAAUAGCCAGCAAUAGUACUUUCAGGAAUAUCUGCAGUUGCAAUAUUACCCUGUAGUUAAAUCUGUUAAUAGACUUCAGCCCAGAAGGGUUGGUUGGUUGUUUUAAACGUAAGUUUCAAAACAAAGAGGAGGUAGCAAAAAGAUUACCUAGGAUAUGUCUCAGGUUUUCAUGACUGAUUUUACACUGUGAUGAAUAGGCAUGACUCUCUCCCCCUUCACCCUUAGCUCAUGUGUACCUUCUUGCUUUCAAUACUAGUGAAUAAUUUAAUGACUCCUUCCACAUAGAAUUACCAAACCCAUAUUUUCUCUCCUCCCCCAACUCCUUCCUGCAAGCUCUGAAAACUUCCUUACGUUUUUAUUAACCUAGGCACCCUCAAAAACUAAACCCCCCACA